This 517-nucleotide ribosomal RNA is filed under the name Palaemonella burnsi. Its description in RNAcentral is "partial large subunit ribosomal RNA". It matches the Rfam family "Bacterial large subunit ribosomal RNA", at positions 1856 to 2630 of the family's 2925-position model. The record is from RNAcentral. Lineage: Eukaryota; Metazoa; Arthropoda; Malacostraca; Decapoda; Palaemonidae.
AGCCUGCCCACUGAAAUAAAUUUAAAGGGCCGCGGUAAUUUGACCGUGCGAAGGUAGCAUAAUCAUUAGCCACUUAAUUGGUGGAUGGAAUGAAGGGUUGGAUGAGGGAUGAACUGUCUUUUUAAUAAAAUUUGAAUUUUACUUUUAAGUGAAAAGGCUUUUAUUCCAUAAAGUGAAGAUAAGACCCUAUAAAACUUAUAUAUAAAUUUAUCAUAUUUGUUAUAUUUAGUAAAAGACAGUAAGGUUAAUUUAUAUUUUGUUGGGGCGACAGGAAUAAAAUAAGUAUCUGUUCUUAUAACAAGUUAGUGACAUCUAAUUAAUGAUCCUUUAAUAAGGAUUAAAGGAUUAAGUUACUUUAGGGAUAACAGCGUGAUUUUCUUUGAGAGUUCUUAUCGACAAGAGUAGUUGCGACCUCGAUGUUGAAUUAAAAUUUCUAAUAAGUGUAGUAGCUUAUAUAGUGAGUCUGUUCGACUUUUAAAAUUUUACAUGAUUUGAGUUCAAACCGGUGCAAGCCAGG